GCGGCCGUGGCGGAAUUGGUAGACGCGCAACGUUGAGGUCGUUGUGUCCGAAAGGACGUGGAAGUUCGAGUCUUCUCGGCCGCACCA
RNAcentral lists this transfer RNA (87 nucleotides) under Sphingomonas adhaesiva. Its description in RNAcentral is "tRNA-Leu". It matches the Rfam family "tRNA". From Rfam's summary of the family: Transfer RNA (tRNA) molecules are approximately 80 nucleotides in length. The record is from RNAcentral. Lineage: Bacteria; Pseudomonadati; Pseudomonadota; Alphaproteobacteria; Sphingomonadales; Sphingomonadaceae. RNAcentral also lists the same sequence under 2 other names.